Long non-coding RNA from Plodia interpunctella (Indianmeal moth), 2120 nucleotides. RefSeq lists it as uncharacterized. The transcript is spliced from 6 exons. NCBI's taxonomy places the organism in Eukaryota, Metazoa, Arthropoda, Insecta, Lepidoptera, Pyralidae. The record is from RefSeq and is a predicted model, not a curated record.
GUUAGAGGUUAAGUUACCAGCGUCAACCUGGUACAGAUGAGACAGAUAUAGUCAAAUAUAUUAUUAUAUACGUAUGUAACAAGCAAAUAGACAUAGUAAAUAUUAUAAUGUAAGUAAAUGCGUUCAUAAAUGUAAUUUCAAUCUUUUGAUAAUUCACCGAACCCUUUUAACGAGUGCCUUUCGCGCUUGUUAUCGCGAAUUUGUUUUUAUCCGAGUUAAUUAAUUUUAGUAAAUCAUAACAGGGAAUGGGGCGGCCAUUAUUACUUUGUGUUUUGUGUUCGCCGCGCGUGUAUGCUGUUGGCAGUGCAAUGUAAAGAAAACGUUUGUUGAUUGGUUAUAUGUAGUUGAAGUUAACUACUAACAUUACUAACACAGGUAAGUUUUCGAGAGCAUUUGGAUCAACAUUAUCUGGAACAACUGUAUGUUUCGAAUUGAGCGUCAUUGUUUGCUGCACUGGUAAAAUGAACUCAAACAAGCGGCUUCCCAGUAUCCAUCUUAUCUUUCGCUUUGUAUAUACAAAGUUUCGAGGACAAUAACAUGAACAGGUAAUAAUCAUGAGUACCACCAAUCUGUCAGUGUUCUGUCUCAUCUCUCCUGAAUACUACGUUGACUUGUAAACAAUGCAAAAUCACCCGAAGAAUAUUUGGUAAUUAAUUCAUCGAUCGUCAUUUGCAGAUAAGUUUUGCUAUUUUAUUCUUAUUUAUUUAAGUACACAGCAAGAGUCGUUUGGUAGAAAUUAAUGAAUCAUAUGUUUUUGUACAGACAAAUUGGCCCGGAUAAAAACAAAAUAAAUCUAUUUUCAUAACGAAACACGAUAAUGUAAUGUCACUUAAUUGAUCAGUUGUAUGUUUUAGUUCUCGUUAAAAUAUAAUUGAAAUGCUAAUUAUUUGUAUAUAUAAUAAAACUGUAAGUAAGCUAUGUCUGUAUAUUGAAUAUAUUAAAGAAAAAUAAUUUGAAGGUCUUUAUGGGACUAAUACAAGGUAAAAUAUUUUUUUAAAGAAUUUUCAUUUAUAUUUGCUCGCGCAUCACAAGAAAACUACUGCAUGGAAUUUGACGCGAUUUUUAGAAUCAUACAUACAUACAUAGCGGAUGGUUUAACUUAUCGCGAUACGUUGCUUACUCGAGAUAUUGACGAAAAUAAUAACACUAUUCUGCGUCUAUUACGCAAGACAAAAGCUAAUUAUCCACUGAAUGUAACUGUUACUAUUAAACGAGCUCCAUAUAAUUUAUCUUGUAUGAUAGCAAGCAAUAAAUAACCCUAUUAUUUCGUAUAGUCGCACACACAUUUUUUUAUAUCUUGUAUGUGUAAUUAAUUUGUAUCUAUAGGUUACACUAAACAAGUUUAGGCAACCCAACAAAAAAUACCGGUCAAUCUAUUGAUUGACGAAAAGUACCCUAUGUCAAAGAUGCAAGGCUUUGGUCAAUCGACUUAACAAAAUUGUAAAACCAAACCAUGUCGCGUUCUAUUUUCGUACAGCGCCAUCUAGUGACACCAACACAAACUAAUCUGAUAUAGCGUAAGACAGUCGCAUAUUUCACACUAAACUUUGGUUUAUGGUUAAAAUAGUCGAUCGGAGUAAAAUUUUAAUUUUUAAUAAUAAUAAUUACGUAGUUAUUUUAUCCAGUUACUACGAGAAAAGCGCACACGAAUUGACAUAGCCUGAAAUAACUCGAAUGUAUUAACUGUAUAGUGCUAGUAAAAUAAAUUAUAAUGUGUAUCUUAACUGUCGAAUGCAUUAUAUAUUUACUGUAGCCACAGGUGAUAUUCAAGGGCAGGCCGUGAACCCGCCACUGAAAACUUUAUACAAGCCCUAGGGUUGGUGCGUGUGGAUAAAUACUAAGAAUCAAGUGUUCGUAUUAGUCCACAGUUGAGCAAAUGCUUUGCUCUCUUGGACAAUUUUUAAUUAAUAAACCAGGUUUUGCCCGCGGUUUCGCCCGCGUAAAUUCAUUUCGUCCCGGAAACAGUUAUUCCGCCAUACUUCAAACUACAUGUAUGCAAAAUUUCAUGGAAGAUUGAUCGAGUAGAUAGAUUGUGAAGAGGUAAGUAACAAACAAAUGUACUUUCGCAUUUAUAAUAUUAGUUAGGAUAAUUUGAUAUAUAAUGGAUAUAAUAAUUUGCG